RNAcentral lists this ribosomal RNA (301 nucleotides) under uncultured bacterium. Its description in RNAcentral is "partial 16S ribosomal RNA". It matches the Rfam family "Bacterial small subunit ribosomal RNA", at positions 509 to 807 of the family's 1533-position model. The record is from RNAcentral.
CAGUCGCCGCGGUAAUACGGAAGGUCCAGGCGUUAUCCGGAUUUAUUGGGUUUAAAGGGAGUGUAGGCGGUCUGUUAAGCGUGUUGUGAAAUUUAGGUGCUCAACAUUUAACUUGCAGCGCGAACUGGCGGACUUGAGUGCACGCAACGUAUGCGGAAUUCAUGGUGUAGCGGUGAAAUGCUUAGAUAUCAUGACGAACUCCGAUUGCGAAGGCAGCGUACGGGAGUGUUACUGACGCUUAAGCUCGAAGGUGCGGGUAUCGAACAGGAUUAGAUACCCCUGUAGUCCCUGUCCCUUAUAC